This 497-nucleotide ribosomal RNA is filed under the name uncultured bacterium. Its description in RNAcentral is "partial 16S ribosomal RNA". It matches the Rfam family "Bacterial small subunit ribosomal RNA", at positions 28 to 507 of the family's 1533-position model. The record is from RNAcentral.
GAUGAACGCUGGCGGCGUGCCUAAUACAUGCGAGUCGAGCGAACAGACGAGGAGCUUGCUCCUCUGACGUUAGCGGCGGACGGGUGAGUAACACGUGGAUAACCUACCUAUAAGACUGGGAUAACUUCGGGAAACCGGAGCUAAUACCGGAUAAUAUAUUGAACCGCAUGGUUCAAUAGUGAAAGACGGUUUUGCUGUCACUUAUAGAUGGAUCCGCGCCGCAUUAGCUAGUUGGUAAGGUAACGGCUUACCAAGGCAACGAUGCGUAGCCGACCUGAGAGGGUGAUCGGCCACACUGGAACUGAGACACGGUCCAGACUCCUACGGGAGGCAGCAGUAGGGAAUCUUCCGCAAUGGGCGAAAGCUUGACGGAGCAACGCCGCGUGAGUGAUGAAGGUCUUCGGAUCGUAAAACUCUGUUAUUAGGGAAGAACAAAUGUGUAAGUAACUAUGCACGUCUCGACGGUACCUAAUCAGAAAGCCACGGCUAACUACGUG